CCGUAGCCAUUUUGGCUCACG
RNAcentral lists this small RNA (21 nucleotides) under Karenia brevis. RNAcentral's name for it is "trans-spliced leader sequence SL". The record is from RNAcentral. Lineage: Eukaryota; Dinophyceae; Gymnodiniales; Kareniaceae.